GGUUGUAUUAUGAAGUGAUAACGUAUGGUUUAUUUAGUGUUAUCACCGCUCCGUUCCUAAUUGAUUCUUACGCAAACUAAGAGAGAUACAUAGUUGAACUACAAUGUUUACUGCGCCCCAAUUAUGAAGAUGAUUCUUCCUAAAUGUGUAUAUGAAUCAAAAAAUUUGUACCCCAUUAUAUGAAAAUAAGAGUAUGAAAUUUCCCACACUUAUAGAGAAUAUAGAGAAGAAGUGGAGGACAAUGUAUUUGACACACACACACGAAUAUAAUAUACUCUUUUGUUUAUUGUUAAAGUCUGUGUACAAAUUGAAAAUAGAUUGAUAUUGUUUGUCUAUAA
This is a long non-coding RNA of Bombyx mori (domestic silkworm), 338 nucleotides long. RefSeq lists it as uncharacterized. The record is from RefSeq and is a predicted model, not a curated record. NCBI's taxonomy places the organism in Eukaryota, Metazoa, Arthropoda, Insecta, Lepidoptera, Bombycidae. The transcript has 2 exons.